This 492-nucleotide ribosomal RNA is filed under the name uncultured bacterium. RNAcentral describes it as "partial 16S ribosomal RNA". It matches the Rfam family "Bacterial small subunit ribosomal RNA", at positions 29 to 507 of the family's 1533-position model. The record is from RNAcentral.
AGUGAACGCUGGCGGUAGGCCUAACACAUGCAAGUCGAACGGCAGCACAGUAAGAGCUUGCUCUUACGGGUGGCGAGUGGCGGACGGGUGAGGAAUACAUCGGAAUCUACUUUUUCGUAGGGGAUAACGUAGGGAAACUUACGCUAAUACCGCAUACGACCUACGGGUGAAAGCAGGGGAUCUUCGGACCUUGCGCGAUUGAAUGAGCCGAUGUCGGAUUAGCUAGUUGGCGGGGUAAAGGCCCACCAAGGCGACGAUCCGUAGCUGGUCUGAGAGGAUGAUCAGCCACACUGGAACUGAGACACAGUCCAGACUCCUACGGGAGGCAGCAGUGGGGAAUAUUGGACAAUGGGCGCAAGCCUGAUCCAGCCAUACCGCGUGGGUGAAGAAGGCCUUCGGGUUGUAAAGCCCUUUUGUUGGGAAAGAAAAGCAGCAGGUUAAUACCCCGCUGUUCUGACGGUACCCAAAGAAUAAGCACCGGCUAACUUCGUG